GCCAGGCUGUGUCUUUCAGUCCGCUAGUACAUUUUUAAAUGAAAUCGGGUGAGCCCGUGUUUGGUGCGUAUAUGUUUAGGAUAGUAAUGUCUUGCUUAAUUGUUCUCUUGGUUAGAAUUAAGUGUCCUUCUUUGUCGCUUCUAGUCUAUUUUGACUUAUAUUAGAACGGCAAUGCCAGUUGCUGCCUAGUCCCCUGUCUCGUUUGACUGGAGAGUCUUUACCCAUCCUGUUACUCUAAGGCAGUGUGUAGUGUCUAUCUUUAAAACUGAAAAUGUGUUUCUUGUAGGCAACAGGUAGAUGGAUUUUGUUUCUUGAUCCAUUAAGCCAGCAUGUUAUUUAAUUGGAGAAGUGAGAUCAUCUAUAUUUAAAGUUAAUAUUUAAAAGUCUGUGCUGACUGGAGCCAUUAUGUUGUUGAUUUUUGGUGGUAUUAUGUUCUUGGUACUUUGUGCUUUUGUGAUGAUGGCUUUGUUUUUCUUUCAACAGUCUCUUAGCUACGCUCAUUUCUCUCUGCAGCCUGACAUACAGCUUCCUGUAUUUUCUUUGAGUGUUGUUUGUGGGAUAUAAAAAUGUCAGGCUGUGUAUAGCAUGGGGAAUUUUUCUUUCUUUCAGCUAAGGCAGAUAGUUUCCCUGGACAAAUUAGUCUAGGCUGUCAUUGUGUGGAUGUUUUUAGCACUCUUACUGCAUUGUUCCAAGAUCUUCUGGCUUUCCAAGUUUCCACUGAGAAAUCCUUUGUUAUUUUAAUAAGUUUUCCUUUUGAGUGACUUGCUACCUUUCUUUUGUAGCUUUCAAUACACUUCCCUUGUUCUGUGUACUUAGUGUUUUAACUAGCAUACACUGAGUAUUUCUGGUCUGGUCUAUCUGGUGUUCUGUGUGCUUCUUCUAUUUGUAUGGGUGCAUCUUUCCUUAGUUUGGGGACUUGUUCUAUGACGCAGAUGUGAUUGAAAGAGGGAGCCACAUUCCAGACCCACCAAGCAGAACUGACAAGCUUUCGCCACAUGGUUCUGGCUUUAGAGUCAAGGAUACAAGAAAGGAGUUAUGGAAUCUCCCUCCAUGGCUAAGGAAAGCCACUGAGGCCAGGCUUGUCUCAGGGGUGUCCCUGCAUUGGAGGACAUUGCAGAUGAGUCAUUGCGUGCUGCUGUGAAGAAUAGUAGACUGAGAUCUCUACAUGAAGAAGAAGGGCAGAAGGAGGGCUGGAAGACAGAUGUGGGACAUGUGCUCCUGUGGGAUCUGUCCCAGGACCUGGCCCAUCCUAAGAAAAAAUUCUGACACCAUGGAAGGAGGGAAAGAAGCUCUCAGACAGCUUCAGAGAAGUUGUUUUGUACAAGUGAUUGGUGGCUAAUGCAGAAACUCCCAUCUGGUUAGACUGCACAAAGUAAGUGUCUAUGGAUUGCCCACAAAACAUCAAACAUGUCACACACUCUCCCCCCAAGCUCAAGUUCCAUAACAGAAGAGGGGGAUCAAGAGAUUUGAAGAGGCAGAAGACAUUCGCACCAGAGCAAUGUAGUGUUUGAGGGACAUGAAAUGGUUAUUAGACUCAUGAACACACAGUAGGUGUCUUUACCCCCAUGAGACCUGCACAAGAUCAAGCCUGCCAGCACUCUGGCAUGGACUGAGUGGGAUCUCUUGUGCUCUUAAAAGUACGUGGCUUUUGUGGGAGGAAGACUCCAUUUUAAGAAUAUGGCCCCUGGUAGGUCAACCAUACUCUAGUGGAUGGUUCUACAUACAACAGUAUGUAGAUAGCACAAAUUGGCCUUGGGAUUUUUCUUUUUAAAAAAUAAAAAUAAAAAAGAUAUGGAUGUUGGGAGUAAAACAGCUAGGAAAGAUGUUUUAUUUUCAUUGGAUGAAAGGGUGGGGUAUGUGUGAAUAUGAUUAAAAUCAAUUAUAUAAAAUCCUCAAAGAAUUAAAUAAAUACCACAUUGACAAACAAUAACUUAUGUUAAGGAAUAGGAAUUAGAUUGCAGCCAACCUGCAACGUCAGAAUCAUUCUCUCCAGAGGCAAGGCUUCCUUCUACAUUAUGAAUACUUAUUGUCACUGAUGUCAGCUAUAAAAGAGAAUCAGAGAAAAGGCAUUUUGGCAAAUAGUAAUCUUCAGGGAGUGUUUCUGCUACUUGAUAUAGGGUAUUCCAAUUUGCUGGAUAAUAUUUAGGACAGGGCCUGACAAAUAAAUAAAAUCAUCACACACUAAAAUUAACCAGAUCCUUAAAGAUUCAAUAACUAUAACUAUAUGGACUAACUAACUAUAUAUAACUCUAUGAAAGAUACAGUUAGAAUUGGCAUUUGAAACAGCAUGUGAAGCUACACAUUAAAAUUUACACUUUAAGUAUCAAAUAUAUAUUUAUACACCAAUCAAAAAGAAAACUAUGUCAACAAUGUGGACAUGAAAAAAGAAAAAAAAAGAGAGAAGGCUGGCGAGAUGGCUCAGGGGUUAAGAGCACUGACUGCUCUUCUGAAGGUCCUGAUUCAAAUCCCAGCAAUCACAUGGUGGCUCAAGCCAUCUGUAAUAAGAUCUGUUGCCCUCUUCUGGGGUGUCUGAAGACAGCAAUAGUGUACUUACAUGUAAUAAUACAUAAGUCUUUAAAAAAAACCAACGUGGACAUAAACUGAGGGACAAACAGGGUGCAGUUCUAGAGAAAGAGAUGAUACUUGCCUUCAUUCGUUUUCUCAGUGUCACACCAAAAGAUCCUUCAAAGCAUUCAUCUACAGAUAGUGACAAAUCAGAAGGUUUUGUUUGUUAGUAAAUAUUCCAAAGGCUCAGACUCUUGCUGAUUUAGGGAAGGCUAGAGUGGAGAGUGGGCCCAUUCAUGGAGGAGGAGCUAGUGGAGCCUGGCUCUCUUUCAUCUGACCAAUGACAGGUGCCCUUUUAGAAGUCUCCUUCUGAUUGGUUAGGAAGUGUCAGCUAAGCCUCAUCACUGCCUCAUCCCCUCACAAGCUGGUAGGACACAGGACAUUCUGACUCUCUUUGAAGGUGUUACACAUUGGCCAUUUACAUAUUAUCCAGUAUAAUGUACACAAUAAUGUUUUAGAAUUGUGCAUGACAGGAUCUUCUACAUAAUCCUCAGAGUGAGCUCUGUUCCACACAACCCUGAUCUGAACAAGAAAAGAGCUGCCUAUCACCUUAGCAUGCAUCCUGACUGAGUAGGUGUACUUUCACAGCCCCUCCCUGAUCACUCACCUUCACUGUCAUGAUCUUCAAUGCCUUCGACCAGGGAUUGCUUGUCCUGCUCCUUGCCGCGCAUGAAAACUGGUUGGUUCACAGUGACACCUAAGAGGAAGCAGAGUGCUUGUUCUUUAACAGGCAGCACAACGAGGGGAAAUGGUGCCUUGAACUGGGUGACAGCCCAGAUCUUAAGGCCCAUAAGAGGCCGGCACUCUAUUGCCUAUGAUCUAUGCUGUCAGCUCUGCAAAGGGUGGAAAAGAGCAGCUGCCGGAUCGACAAGCACCUUGACAUUUCUCAGGAAUGAAAGGUAUCAUGGGAGAGGGCCCUGCUACAGUUUGAGAAGAUGUGGCAUAGCAAACAAACUGGGAACCACCAGACUGGUCUGAACCCAGAUUUCAUCUUACCUAGGUCAGUCAUUCUGAUGUAGUUUCUUUUCAUGUACACGUAGGCACUUUUCUGCCAUUGAGUCAGCUUUCCCCACUCUUCAUCAGAGAAGUAUGUAGAAAUAUCCUGGAAGGCCUAGAAAAGAAGGGAAUGAAAACUCUGGCAACUGCUCUCCUGGAUGUGUGUACCAUUCAUCCCAGAAUGCCCUCUGUGGUGGAGGACCUUUGUGGUCCACCAGAGAAUCAACACAAUUGAUACUGGGAAUGGAGUGUUGGAGACCCAAAUAAGCACCUUGAUUCAGCCGUUACUAGAGACUCAGCAACCAGGCAACCAAACCCUUUGAAUUCCUCAGGGAACUGAUGGAGGAAAUGCGGUAAGAACGGAAUGUUGGAGCCCAGGGUUCCAUGCAGGAAGUACAUCACCAAAGGGAUGUACUAAAUAUCCCCACUAUAGUAUGAUGAUUCCUCCUCCCCCAUCCCCUGCAUUGCUUACUCCCGGUUCUGUUUACCUGCUGAUACUUGCAUUCCUCUGGAUACCUGAGCUUUCCCUUAUAUCUAGACUACUGUCUACUGUGCAGUUGUUUCUCUAAAAAAAAAAUGGCUAACCACUUCAAAUCUUUCUCCUCUGUCUUCCUUAGUCAUUCUAACCUGGGACCUCUUUAUAAUAAACCCAUAACAUUUAUAUUAUUUAUUAAAGGACAGCAUUAGAGUUGAAAUUAUUCCUAUAUGUACUCUUUCUCCAAAGACCCAAGAGCUUGUUUUCUGUGAAAUUCUUAUGAAUAAUAGCAAAACAGUCUGCAUGUGAUUAGAGUUUAUAGUGCUCUUUAAAGGGUUCCCAAGUGCUUCUGUUAGGAAGGCUUCUCUACUCAAAUUGCAUGUGCCUCCACUCCCCCUUAAUGCUAUGUAGACUUUGCAUUCUGAGGACUGCUCUGUCAAUAAUGUCCUGCUCAGAAUGACUGAGACCUUUAUUCUGGCAAGUCAAUGUUUCAUGGACUUUGGGACCAGCAUUAAUACUUCAACUGCAUAUUUUCCUUAUGUUUUCUUCUUAAACAUUUAUAAAAAUUAAUUUUAAGUCAUAUUACAAAGGAAUGGCUUCCCCCACAGCCCACAGUCAGUGUUAUCCUAAAUGGAGAACAAUGUGAAGCAGUCCCUCUAAAAACAUAAACAAGUCAGGGCUGUCCACUGUCCCCACUCCUUUUCCCUAUAGUUCCUGAAGCAGUAACUGUAGACAAACCUACUUCAAUUUAAUCAAGGGAUCAAUCAAUUAAUAAAAUACUAUAGUACUAAGCAAAUAUGCACAAAACUCUGGUGCAGCCAGUUUCAUAAAAUCAUACUAAUGGAAUUAAAACUCCAGAUUAACACAAACUUCAUAAGAGGAGGCAAUUUCAUCACUCCAGUUUCUGCUAUAGAUGGGACAUCUGGACCAAAAAUAAAGAAACAGAUACUUCAGAAUUCAAUGAACUCUUUUAUCAAAAGGACCAAAGAGAUAUCUACAGAGUAUUCAACUCAAACACCAAGAAUACACAAAUAUACAUGCUACUCUGUAGGACAAUGUGCUUUCUCCACAGUGGAGCACCUGCUGCAACACAAACCUUAAUGAAUGCAGAAAAAUUGAAAUAAGUCCACAUAUCCUGCCCAGCCAUUGUGCAAUAUCCUUAAGAUUGACAGUAAACAAAACUCUACUAAGUAUAUACACUCAUGGAGAUUAACAGUUCAUUACUGAAUGAGAAAUAGGUCAAACAAGAAAUUUAACUAUUCUUGGAACUAAGUAAACCAGAAUCACAACAAGAAAACCCUUUGGGAAACAGUAAAAGCACUUUUAAGAGGAAACUUUAAAUUACAUAUAGUCCACAUUUAACAAAAAAAUAGAGUGCAAACCAAUGACUUAUUAUGCAACAUAAGAAUUUGGAAAAACAAACCAAAGUCAAGAUCAGUACAGUGUAAGAAAUAAUCAAUUUUUAAAAAUCAGGUGAAAGGGUUGGAGAGAUGGUUCAGUGGUGAAGAACAUUGUCUGCUCUUCCAGAGGUCCCGAGUUGAAGUCCCACCACCCACAUGGUGGCUCACAACCAUCUCUAAUGGGAUCUGAUGCCCUCUUUUCAUGUGUCUGAAGACAGAGCCCUCAUGAAUAUAAAAAAUGUAAUUUUUUAACAAAUCAGGUGACAAAGGAAGCCAACUAUCCAGGCCUAGUGAGGUCAUGGAUCUGAGAAGAACCUAUACUAAAACUUUAUUAAGUCAGCAUAAAACCUAACUAUAUUUUUUCAUUAAUUUAUUUAUUCACUUUACAUCCAGAUUCUGCCCCUGUCUUCCCACUCCUCUCCCUCACACAGUUCUUCCUCCCAACCGCCUCCCCUUCUCCUUUGAGAGGAUGGAUCCCCCUCAGUAUCCCCAAAUCCUUUCACAUCAAGUCUCUACAUAGCUAGGUGCAUGCUGUCCCAUUGAGGACAGACAAGGCAGCCCUGUUGUGGAACAGAUUUCACAGACAGGCAGUAGAUUUAGGGACAGCCCCCUCCUCCAGUUGUUGGGGGACCGACAUGAAGACCAAGCUGCACAUCUGCUACAUAUGAGUGCAGAGGCCUAGGUCCAGUUUGUGUAUGUUCUUUGGUUGGUAGUUCCGUUUCUGGGAACUGCCAAAGGUUAGUUGACUCUAUUGCUCUUCCUGCAAAGUUCCUAUCCCCUUCAGGCCCUUCAAUCCUUCCGUACCUCUUCCAUAAGAGUCCCUGACCUCCAUUUGGUGUUUGGCUGUAGGUUUCUGCAUCUGUUUCAGUUAGCUGCUGGAUACAGUCUCUCAGAGGACAGUAAUGCUAUGCUACUCUCUGCAAGCAUAACAGAGUAUCAUUAAUAGUUUCAAGGAUUGGUGCUUGUCCAUUGGAUGAGUCUCAAGUUGGGCUUGUUAUUGCUUGGCCAUUUCUUCAGUCUCUGCUCCAUCUUUUAUCCCUGCAUUGCUUAUAGACAAGACAAAUUUGGGAUUGAACGUUUUGUGGGUGGAUCAGUGUAUUUAUCCCUCCACCAAGGGUCCAGUCUGGCUACAGGAGGUGAUCACUUCAGGUUCCAUAUUCCCACUGCUAGGAGUCUCAACUAAAAUUGCCCCCAUAGAGGCUCUUGGUAGCCUCCCCCAUCCUGGGUUUCUGGCAGGUUCUAGAGAUACCACCAUCAUUAUGCUAUUUUUAAUUAUUUAUUUGCAUUACAAAUGUUACCCUCCUCCCAAUCCCCUCCCUUCCCCCCUCUCCCUAGACAUCCCCCUACCCUGAGGUAUCUAGUCUCUACAGGAUUAGGUAUGGCCUUUCUCACUGACACCAGACAAGGCAGUCCUAUGCUGCAUAUAUACCAGGGGCCUUGGACCAGCCUGUGUAUGCUCUUUGGUCGGUAGCUUGGUCUCUGGGAGCUCUGAGGGAUUCAGGUUAGUUGACACUGUUAGUAUUUCUAUGGGGUUGCCAUCCCCUUCAUUACCUUCUAUCCUUUCCCUAACUCUUCCAUAGGGGUCCACCAACUCAGUCCAAUGCUUGCCUGUAAGUAUCUGCAUCUGUCUUAGUCAGCUGCUGGUAGAGCCUCUCACAGGACAGCUAUGCCAGGCUCCUGUCUGCAAGCAUAACAUGGCAUCAGUAAUAAUGUCAGGGAUUGGUGCCCACCAUGGGAUGGACCCCAACUUGGGCUGGUCACUGAACAACCUUUCCUUCAGUUUCUGCUCCACUUUUGUUCCUGCAUUUCUUUUAGAUGGGUCCAAUUCUGGAUCAAAACUUUUGAAAGUGGGUUGGUAACCCUACCCCUCCACUGUAGACCAUGUCUAUCUACUGGAGGUGGUCGCUAUAGAUUCUAUCUCCCUAGUGUUGGGCAUUUCAGCUAAAGUCAUCACAAUUGAGCCCUGGGAGACUCACAUUCCAGGUCUCUUGGACUUUCUAGAGGUUCCCCCUAUUUCCACCCCUGCAGUAGCAUAUUUCAAUUCUCUUGGCUUUCUGCACCUGUCUCCUGUCUCCCCCAAUACCUGAUCCUGCCCCCCGCUUUUUCCUCUCCCCUGCCCCUCUCCUACCCAGGUCCUUCUUUCACUCUGCCUCCAGUUAUUAUCUUGUUCCCUUUUCUAAAUGGGAUUGAAGCAUCAUUGCUUGGGCCUUCUGUCUUGUUAAACUUCUUAUAGUCUAUGUGUUUUAUCCUAGGGAUUCUGUACUUUUGGGCUAAUAUCCACUUAUUAGGAGAGAACCAGCUAGACAAAUGUAUUGUCUGACAUGCACAUAGUGGCAUGUACACACACAUAAGCACAUCAGAAAUGUAUGGAGUGGUAGUAGUAAUUAAUAAUAAUAAAUGAUUUUAAGACCCACUAGAACUUCAGCCCCUUCUCCAACUGUAUUUGGUACUUAUCAUCAUCCUGACUACUUCUGAUGGACUCUCUCCUUCAUCUUUAUAUGGGUUCAAAGGACCCAACUCAGAUGGUCAGGCUUGCUCUGUAAAAGUCAUUUUGGCUGAGCCCUCUCUCUCUGUCCCAAGGCAACAAUAUUCUGCAGUAUGAUUUGAGAGUCUGCAGUUUAUGAGCAGCUAUGGUAAGAGUCUAGUGACUCUUGCCACUAUAUAAGAUUUUUUCUUUUUCUUUUUUGAAUUAAUUAAUUAAUUUUUACACACCAUAUUUUAUUCCCUCACAUCCACCCUAUGAUGGCUCCACAUCCCACACCUCUUCCCCAACCCCCUGUCUCCACAUAGAUGUCCCCACUCACCACCCCACCUGUACCCUAAAAUUCCUGCGGCCUCCAGUCUCUUGAAGGUUAGGUGCAUCAUCUCUGAUUGAACACAGAACCAGAAGUCCUCUACUGUAUGUGUGUUCGGGGCCUCAUAUAUCAUAUAUAUACCAUAUAUAUAUAUGUAUAAUAUAUAUAUAUAUGGUAUAUCCUGUCUGUUUUAUGGUCCAGAGUUUGAGAGAUUCCGGUGAUCCUGAUUAAUUGAGACUGCUGGUCCUCCUACAGGAUCACCCUUCUCCUCAGAUUCUCUCAGCCUUCCCUAAUUCAAUAAAAGUGGUGAGCUCCUUCUGUCCAUUUGUUUUGUGCAAAUAUCUGUCUCUGAUUUUUUUCAGCUGCUUGUUGGAUCUUUUAGAGAGCAGUUAUUCUAGGUCCAUUUUUGUGAGCACACCAUAGCCUCAGUAAUAGUGUCAGGCCUUGGGGCCUCCUCUUGAGCUGGAUACCACUUUAGGCCUUUCACUGGACCUUCUUUUCCUCAGGCUCCUCUACAUUUCCAUCCCUGUAAUUCUUUCAGACAGGAACAAUUAUGCAACCGAGGUAUGACUGUGGGAUAGCAACCCCGUCCCUCACUUGAUGCCAUGUCUUCCUGCUGGAGGUGGGCUAUAUACGUUUCCUCUCCCUACUGUCAGGCACCUCAUAUAAAGUCCCUCCCUUUGGGUUCUAAGAGUCUCUCACCUCCCAGAUCUCUGGUGCAUUCUGGAGGGGACCUCCAACCUCCUAUCUCCCUGUUUCCAUUAUUUCUGUUGGCACUCAGAGAGCUAUUACAUGUGGGUAGGGAGGAACCUGGGAGGAAAAGUGGACAGGGAAGGGGAUUGGGGGGGAGGGCAGAGGGGAACCUGAUGUGGUAUUGGGUGAGGGAAGAUAAGAUGCUUGUCUUCUAUAGAAGGAAAGUUUUCACUUUCCACAUAUGGAUUCGAACAUUGUGAUUUUUGCCUUCCUGUGCCUGCUGUAUCCAACAAACAUCUGAACCCUCAUCACUAAAAAGGAUAUGUUUUUCAGUCAAGAUGCCUGAGAAGGUUAUAAGCAGCUCCUUUCUUCUUCUUCAUGCCAUGGCCAGGUGGACAGGAUUUCAUUUGGAGGAUUAUCUGGAAGGCAUAUCACAUAAAAUUCUACAACAAGAAUAAAGAAUGCAUAUUAUUAUAGAUAAUGAGUGAGUGGCAAACAUAUACCACAUUCAGUUUGAAUGCACACUGUCCUGUAUUCCAUCCUAAUGCAGUCACAUGCCAUCCUAUGUACACACAUGCAGACACUUAUUUUUCCAUGUUUUACAGAGAUAACAGUAGACAGAUGGGGGGAGAGUUGUGCAGGUGUCUCCAGCAGUGAGCCUUGCUCUCAUUUUGGAAUGCAGUCUGUAGUCUUAGCAACCAACAGGGUUGUUUGGGAUUCCCAUGGCCAAAAACACAAUUAGAUAUAACCCGGUUCUGGUACCAGAAGGUCCAUUUGGUGGCAAGCGAUGCCAGUUGGGACUCUUUCCUAUUAUAUGGCAGUUUCGCUUAGAUUUCCAUACAUACAUACAUACAUACAUACAUACAUACAUACAUACAUACAUAUAUGACUACCACUCAAAUGCCCCCUAAUGUUAGGUGCCUUUCCCCAUAUUUCCCACACUCUAUCCUAUCUCCUUUCCCUCCCUCUUGAUUCUUCCAUUCUAGCUCUACAUAUCUAUCAGUAAUUAUUUAUUCUGUCUCCCUUUCCUAAUGAGAAGCAUCUGUCCCAUCUGGUCCCUAAUAGUACACCUACUAUAAUACUGUUAAUACUACUAUAGUCUCUGGUUCUUAGGUAUCAUUAACUUCACAGCUAAUAUAUGCAUACAAGUGAAUAUAUACCAUAUUUGUCUUUCUGAAUCUGGAACACAUCAUUCAUGUAUUCCUAAGUUCUGUCCAUUUGACUGCAAAUUUUAUGAUAUCAUUUUUAAGAGCUGAGUAAUUCCCCAUUGUGUAAAUGUACCAUAUUUCCUUUAUACAUUCUUCUGUUGAAGAACAUCUGGUUUGUUUCCAAGUUCUUGCUAUUAUGAAUACAGCAGUAUUUAACAUGGUUGUGCAAAUGUCCUUAGGAUAGGAUGGAGCAUUCUUCAAGUUCAAGGGUCCCCAGUAUCUCUCUCUUCUAUUAGUGUAUCUGGCUUUCUGUUGAGGUCUUGGAACAUUUGGGGUUGAGUUUUGUGCAGAGGGAUAGAUGUGGUAUAUUUAGAUUCUUCUGCAUGCAGACAUCCAGUUUGCAGUUUGACAGCACCAUUAAUUGACGACACUGUCAUCUUUCCAUUGUUUAAUUUUGGCCUCUUUAUCAAAGAACAGGUGUCCAUGGGUGUGUGGCUUUAUGUCUAGUACUUCAAUUAGAUUUCAUUAAUCAACCUGUCUGUUUUUUGUGCCAAUACCAUGCUGUUUUAAAUGCCCUACCUCUGUAGUUCAUCUUGAAGUUGGGAAUAAUGAGACCUCCAGCAGUUUUUUUUUCUUCUUCAGGACUGUUUUAACUAUCCUGUGGCUUUUGAGUUUCCAUAUGAACCUGAACAUUGUCUUUUUAAUGUCUAUAAAGAAUUGUGUUACAAUUUUAAUGGGUACUGCAUUGAAUCUGUAGAUUGCUUUCAAUAGGAAGGUCAUUUUUACCAGUUGAUGACCAUGGAAUCACUUUCCAUGUUAUGAUAAAGAAGACUUUAAUUUCUUUCCUCAAUGACUUGAUGUUUUUAUCACCCAAGACUUUCACUUGCUUGGUUAGAGUUACCCAAAAAUAUCUUAUUUGAUGUUACUGCGAAGGGUGUUGUUUCUCUGAUUUCUUGCUCAGUCCAUUUGUCAUUUGUUUAUAGGAGGGCUACUGAUGUUUUUGGGUUAGUUUUGUAUUCAGAUACUUUGCUGAAAAUAUUUAUGUGCCAUAGAAGUUUCCUGGUAGAAUUUUUAGGGUCACUCAUAUAUACUAUUGUGUCACCUGCAAAUGCAGAUACAUUGACAUCUUCCUUUCCAAUUUGUUUCCCAUUGAUCUCUUUCACUUGUCUUUUUAUUGAUGUAGCUAAGGCUUCAAGCUAUUGAACAAGUAUGGAGAGAGUGGACAACCUUGUCUUAUUCCUUAUUUUAGUGGAAUUCCUCUGAGUUUAAACUGCUUUUUUAUGUUGAGGUAUGCCCCUUGUAUCCCUAACCUCUCCAGGACUUUUAUGAAGUGGUGUUGGAUUUUGUCAGAGGUCUUUUCUGCAUCUAAUGUAGUGUUUAAUCUUUCACGUUGCUCAUAUGGUGUAUUACAUUUAUCUAUUCAUGUAUGUUUGACCAUGCUUAGAUCUCUGGGAUGAAGCCUGCCUGAUCAUGGUGCUUGAUUUGUUCUUGGAUUUGGUUUGCAAGUAUCUUAUUGAAUAUUCUUGCCUGUAUGGUUUUAUAAGGGGAAAUUGGUCUGUAAUCCUCUUUUGUUGUUAGUUUUUUAUGUGGUUUGGGUAUCAGAGUAAAUGUGGCCUCAUAAAAUGAAUUGGGCAGUAGUGUUCCUUCUGUUUCUGUUUUGUGAAAUACUCUGAGGAGUUUUGGCAUUAACUCUUCUUUAAAAGUCUGCAAAAGGGCUGGAGAGAUAGCUUAGCAGUUAAGAGCACUGACUGCUCUUCCAAAGGUCCUGAGUUCAAUUCCCAGAAACCACAUGGUGGCUCACAACCAUCUGCAAUGAGUUUUGAUGCCCUGUUCUGGUGUGUCUAAAGACAGCUACAGUGUACUUACACAUAAUAAAGAAAUAAAUCUAAAGAAAAAUAAAAAGGUCUGGAGAAAUGGCUCAGUAGUUACUGCUUUUUCAGAGGACCAGGCUCAAUUCCCAACACCUACAUGAUGGCCCACAACCAUAUCUAACUCCAAUUCCGGUGGAUAUACUGCGGACUUCUGAAAGCACCAGGCACACUGGCAGUGCACAGAUAUUCAUACAGGCAGAAGACUCGCAUAAAUAAGAUACUAAAGUUAAUUUUAAACUCUAGUCUGAUUGCACUCUGUGCUAAAACCAUCUGGUCCUGGGAUUUUAGGGAGUGGUGGGAUAUUUUAAUGACUCUUACUAUUUCAAUUGGAGUUACACAUCUAUCUAGUUUGCUUAUCUUGAUUUAACUUUGGUAAGUGGGAUGCACAGAGAAAAUUAUCAAUUUCGUUUGGAUUUUCCAGUUUGGUGAAGUACAGAUUUUAAACUAUGCCUUUAUGAUUCUGUGGAUUUCCUUGGUUCUGUUGUCAAAUCUCUCUUUCAUUUCUAUUUUUUUUUCAUUUGAACAUUCUCUCCUCACCUUUUAAUUAAUUUUGUAUAAGGGCUUUUCCAUCUAUAACUUUCCAAAGAACUUUGUUUCAUGGAUUCUUUGUGUUGCUUUGUUUGGUUCUAUCUUAUCUAUUUCUGCCCUGAAUUCGAUUUUUUCUUUCCAUCUACUUCUUUGCGGUGUGAUCUCCUCUUUUUAUUCUAGAGUUUUCAAUUGUGUGUUUUUUAUAUAAGCACUUAAUGCUAUGAAUGUCCACUUUAGAACUGCCUUCAAUGUAUUCCAUAACUUUGUGUAUGUUGGGUAUUUGUUUUCAAUCAGUUCUGCAAAGUCUUUUAUUUCUUGAUUUCUCUUUUGACUCAUGUAGUGGUUUGACAAUACCCCCAACCCACAGACCCAUAGAUUUGAAUACUGAGCACCAGGGAAUGGCUCUAUAUAGAGAGAUUAGAAAGUGUGGCCUUUUGAAGAAAGUAUGCCACUAGAAGUAGGCUUUGAAGGUUCAAAUGUCCACACCAGAGUGAGUGUCUUGCUCUCUCUCUCUCUCUCUCUCUCUCUCUCUCUCUCUCUCUCCUGCCUGGGGAUCAGGAUGUAACACUCUCAGCUAAUUUUCUAGCAAUGUGCCUUUUGGCUUCCCACCAUGAUAGUAAUGGACUGACCCUCUGAAUUAGCCCCUAAUUAAAUGUUGACUUUUAUAAAAAAAAAAAAAGUAUUGUCUUGGUCAUGGGGUUUCUUCAUAGCAAUAAAACAAUAAGUAAGAAAAGGAUACCAAAAAUUUUGCCUCUGAAUAAAGUUGAAUUAAUUAUGAAAAAAUCUUUUAAAAAUAAGAAAAAGCUUGAAUUUUGUGCUGGAUACUCCAAUUUGGAUAACCUGGAGUCUAGCUCUCCUUGCCAGCCAAGACUGUUCCUGGAGAACACCCAUAUACACCGCGCCCUCUGCUGGACAUGUUCUUAUCUUCAGUCGUCUCACAAACAGCACAGAAAGGCUAGGACAAUGUAGAGAACAAGAUCAGGGAAUCAUGUCUGCCCUCUAGAGGCUGAAUAGAACCAGGCUGACCCUCCAGAGAAGCCCCUGAGACAAACUGCACCCAGCUAUUUGGAACCACUUGGCACCUGCACUUUAGCCUCCAGAGACACCACCACAUGUGCAUCUCAGUCGUCAGAAUCAUCACCAUCUUCUGGAACAGUGAAACUGUUCCUGGAGGAUAGAGAGUCCAAGGAUCAACCACAACAGCCCUGUUGAGAGGCCCUCUCCUCUGAGUCUCCUGUGCUCUCUGCCUGCUGUGGGUCCCAUAGCUGCCUCUGCUCUCAAGAUAAAUUAGCAAACUGUUUAGAAAGGUGAUCAGACUGGAGAAUAUGUGAGGGGAGACUGGACAGAGGAAAUGAGAAGAGGAGGAGAGAGAAGAGUGCAAUGAUCAAACUUGAUUUACUCAAGAACCAGAGGGAAAAUCAGAAGAAUAUCUGAGGUAGUGCCAGGAAAAGGUGAGCCGAGCCAGACACAAUAUUGUUAGGAGACAGUAGAAAGAUAAUUGUGCUAACAGACUCAGAAGAUAGUUUGUGACAAGUGAGCCAGGAGAAGCUGAGCUGAGCACAUAAGCUAGAACCCUGUUUAUCAUUUGGAGCUGCUAGUGUUGGGGAAAGUGGGAGAAGGGGCUGUUUGAGCUCACUGUUGGGGAACUGAGGGAGGAGCAGUGAAGACACACUUUGGAAGACACACUUUUGGAAGACUCACUCUGGCCUGGAAACUGAGAGGAGGGCUGAUGUUUGCAAGAAAAGGGGACAGAAGAAUCUACAAAAUAGCAAGAGAGAAAAACUAUAAACAAGGAUGGGGAAUAAUUGUUUCUUCUUCUGCAAAAGCUCCAGUCUACUUCUCUUCUUACUUCACAUCUUUGAGGAUCAUGGCAUUACAUGGGUUCUCUACCCAAUGGCCUUAAGGAAGGUUGCCUUGCAGUAUGGCUAGAAUCAUGCAACUGCUCCCAUGUGACCAAGUUGCCUUCCUUAGCUUGCUCUGGGCUGUUUGCUUUACCACCAUGCUGGUUUGGAAGGGAAUGGUCCCCAUAGGCUCAUAGAUUUGGAUGCUCAGUGCCUACUUGAGAGGGAUUGAGUGGUAUGACCUUGUUAGAGUUGAUGUGUCACUGGGGGUUUAGGAUUUCGAAAGUUCAAGGCAGUUCAGUGUCCAGCAGUCUCUGUCUCUCUCCUCUCUCUCACCCCUCCCUUUCCCUCCCUAUCUCCCUCUCCUUCUACCACUCUGCCUAUUGAUCAAUAUGUAGAAUUCUCAGAUCCUUCUCCAGCUGCUAUAUCUUCCUGUGUCCGACCAUGUUUUCUGCCGUGAUGACAAUUAACUAAACUUAUGAAAUUGUAUGCCAGCCCCAAUUUAGUGUUUUCCUUUACAAGAGUUGCCUUGGUCAUGAUGUCUCUUCACAAUGACAGAAAACUAACACAGCUACCAAAAGUCACUUUUGUUUUUGAGCUUUGUACAUGUAAAUGAAUCUGACCCAAACA
This is a long non-coding RNA of Mus musculus (house mouse), 14942 nucleotides long. RefSeq annotates it as predicted gene, 54079. The transcript is spliced from 4 exons. Lineage: Eukaryota; Metazoa; Chordata; Mammalia; Rodentia; Muridae. The record is from RefSeq and is a predicted model, not a curated record.